Molecule: ribosomal RNA, 977 nt
Filed under: Exiguobacterium acetylicum
Lineage: Bacteria; Bacillati; Bacillota; Bacilli; Caryophanales
Description: bacterial SSU rRNA
Rfam family: Bacterial small subunit ribosomal RNA
Source: RNAcentral
CAUGCAAGUCGAGCGCACGUAGCUCACGCAACUCUUGGGAGUGAGGGCAGUGGAAUGAGCGACUCACGGGUGAGUGACAGAUAAGGACCUUGCAUUAUGCAUUGUAAUGGGUGAGAGAAAUCGGAGAUGAUCCCUGAUAGUUCAUCGGUCCUCAUGGUGCAAUCAUGAAACGUUCUUCCGUGUCACUAUCAGAUGACCUUGCGUUGCAUUAGCUAGUUGGUGGGGUAACGGCUCACCAAGGCGACGAUGCAUAGCUGAUCUGAGAGGGUGAUCGGUCACACUGGGACUGAGACACGGUCCAGACUCCUACGGGAGGCAGCAGUAGGGAAUCUUCCACAAUGGACGAAAGUCUGAUGCAGCCACGCCGCGUGAGUGAUGAAGGUUUUCGGAUUGUAAAACUCUGUUGUAAGGGAGGAACGUCUGUGAGAGGAAACGCUGGUGCUUUGACGUUACCUUCCGAGUAAGCCCCGGCUAACUUCGUGCCAGCAGCCGCGGUAAUACGUAGGUGGCAAGCGUUGUUCGGAAUUAUUGGGCGUAAAGCGCGCGCAGGCGGCUUUUUAAGUUGGAGGUGAAAUCCCCGGGCUCAACCGGGGAGCGGCCUCCGGAAACUGCAAGGCUUGAGUACAGUAGAGAGGAGUGGAAUUUCACGUGUAGCGGUGAAAUGCGUAGAUGAUGUGGAGGAACACCCAGUGGCGAAGGCGACUACUCUGGUCUGAUACUGACGCUGAGGCGCGAAAGCGUGGGGAGCAAACAGGAUUAGAUACCCUGGUAGUCCACGCCGUAAACGAUGACUGCUAGGCGUUGGGGGGCUUCCGCCCCUCAUGGCUCAACCUAACCCUUUAAUUAAUCCCCCGGGGAAGUACGGCCCCAAGGUUAAAACUCAAUGGAUUUGACGGGGACCCCCCCAACCGGGGAACCAGGUGGUUUAAUUCAAACCACCGCGAAAAACCUUACUGGCUCUUGACAUCCUAUUGACC